UAAUGACGCAAGGCCCAGCCCACGUGCAAGCCGUGGCCGCCCUCUUCGGAGGGCGCGGCGCUCAUGUCAAUAUG
Molecule: ribozyme, 74 nt
Filed under: unclassified sequences
Description: Twister_sister_ribozyme
Rfam family: Twister_sister_ribozyme
Source: Rfam by way of RNAcentral